This 363-nucleotide ribosomal RNA is filed under the name Mycale sp. 2 LG-2013. Its description in RNAcentral is "eukaryotic LSU rRNA". It matches the Rfam family "Eukaryotic large subunit ribosomal RNA", at positions 819 to 1183 of the family's 3401-position model. Lineage: Eukaryota; Metazoa; Porifera; Demospongiae; Poecilosclerida; Mycalidae. The record is from RNAcentral.
GAAGAUGGUGAACUAUGCCUGAAUAGGGCGAAGCCAGGGGAAACCCUGGUGGAAGCCCGCAGCGAUUCUGACGUGCAAAUCGAUCGUCAAAUUUGGGUAUAGGGGCGAAAGACUAAUCGAACCGUCUAGUAGCUGGUUCCCUCCGAAGUUUCCCUCAGGAUAGCUGGAGCCCGGUGCAGUUUUAUCAGGUAAAGCGAAUGAUUAGAGGUCUUGGGGUCGAAACGACUUCAACCUAUUCUCAAACUUUAAAUGGGUAAGAGGUCCGGCUUGCUCGGUUGAAGUCGGACGCGGAAUGCCGGGGCUCCUAGUGGGCCAUUUUUGGUAAGCAGAACUGGCGAUGUGGGAUGAACCGAAAGCCGGUAA